GCUUAAUAGUUUUGCCCCGGAUAAAAGUAAUUUCUAGCUCCGCCCUUGGGAGGGAACAGAAGAAGUCUGAGAGAGAGAGAGAGCAAGAGCUGAGAAGGAAGUUUGAGCACGAGAGGGUAAACCGGUUUGAGAAAUUUCAAGGAGCGAAUCUGUACUUGAAGAGUCUUGAUGAUAUAUUGCGUUGAUGAUGAGAAACUCAAGGAGAUGUUCUCUGAGUUUGGAAAUGUAACCUCUCCCAAGCUGAGUGAAAUGAUAUGGAAAGAUGAUAGGAAAGAAACCACUUACAUAGCUUUUGCGCAGCGCAAAGAAGAUAGUCAAGCACACACGUAUAGGGUUCUUAUUAAGCUCUCUUCAGUUACAUAUUUAAGAAACAAAGGGUUUGUUAAAGCUGUUUUGUGUGUUUCAGGCGUUGUUUUCACAGAUUAGAGCACCAGGGUCAAUGUCAUCACCACUGACGAGGCUUCAUCACCCACCAGAUAAUCAUGAAAAGGAUUGGAUUGAUGUUGGCAGCAUAUGCACUGUAAUUUGAGCCCUGGAAGGAGAUAUAUGAUUAAUGGUCCGGGUACGGGAGGAACGGAAUGGAUUUGAGUGUUUCGCAAGGAACCUUACCUCCUCCAGUCAUGCAUUUGCCAAUUGAUGCUUCUUCAAACAUCACGAGAAAGAUUCCUUACUUCCAUUCUCUUAGCUUACUUCUCUCUUAGCUUCCGCUAAUCUUAGCUGAUCGCACACGGAUGCUUGGAGAGAGACUUUACCCACUUGUGGAAAAGCAUGAAUCACUUCACGUUGCUAAACUCACAGGAAUGCUAGCUGUUGGAGAUGAAUCAAGCCGAUAUCUUGCACCUGAUGGAGUCAGAAGACGCACUCAAGUCUAGAGUUUUUUUGAGGCUUUAGAUGUUCUAAGGCUAUUUGUUGAUGCACCUGAUCAUUAUGAUCUCGGUUUCUCUACCACCAACUGAAAAUCUCCACACCUCUAUUUUUUUAGUUCAACUUUAGAGUAUUUCUUUUAGUAUUUUUAUUAAUUUUUUUUAACUUAAUUUAUGAUUUUGAAACUUUUAACUUAAUGUGGUUGGUCCAUUUUAUUUAGAGUCUUUAACGCUACAUGAAAUUUAAUUGUUUAUCAUUUGGUAGUGAUUGUCAGCAAUAGGAAGCCA
Brassica napus (rape) is the source of this 1151-nucleotide long non-coding RNA. RefSeq lists it as uncharacterized. The record is from RefSeq and is a predicted model, not a curated record. The transcript has 4 exons. Lineage: Eukaryota; Viridiplantae; Streptophyta; Magnoliopsida; Brassicales; Brassicaceae.